This 460-nucleotide ribosomal RNA is filed under the name uncultured bacterium. RNAcentral's name for it is "partial 16S ribosomal RNA". It matches the Rfam family "Bacterial small subunit ribosomal RNA", at positions 338 to 795 of the family's 1533-position model. The record is from RNAcentral.
CCUACGGGAGGCAGCAGUGAGGAAUAUUGGUCAAUGGACGAGAGUCUGAACCAGCCAAGUAGCGUGAAGGAUGACUGCCCUAUGGGUUGUAAACUUCUUUUAUAUGGGAAUAAAAUGUUCCACGUGUGGGAUUUUGUAUGUACCAUAUGAAUAAGGAUCGACUAACUCCGUGCCAGCAGCCGCGGUAAUACGGAGGAUCCGAGCGUUUUCCGGAUUUAUUGGGUUUAAAGGGAGCGUAGGUGGAUUGUUAAGUCAGUUGUGAAAGUUUGCGGCUCAACCGUAAAAUUGCAGUUGAAACUGGCAGUCUUGAGUACAGUAGAGGUGGGCGGAAUUCGUGGUGUAGCGGUGAAAUGCUUAGAUAUCACGAAGAACUCCGAUUGCGAAGGCAGUUCACUGGACUGCAACUGACACUGAGGCUCGAAAGUGUGGGUAUCAAACAGGAUUAGAUACCCCGGUAGUC